UACGUAGGGGGCUAGCGUUGUCCGGAUUUAUUGGGCGUAAAGAGCUCGUAGGUGGUUCGGUUAGUCGGAUGUGAAAUCUCCAGGCUCAACCUGGAGGGGUCAUUCGAUACUGCCGUGACUAGAGUUCGGUAGAGGAGUGUGGAAUUCCUGGUGGAGCGGUGAAAUGCGUAGAGAUCGGAAAGAACACCAACGGCGAAAGCACUCUGCUGGGCCGACACUGACACUGAGAGACGAAAGCUAGGGGAGCGAAUGGG
This 254-nucleotide ribosomal RNA is filed under the name uncultured bacterium. Its description in RNAcentral is "partial 16S ribosomal RNA". It matches the Rfam family "Bacterial small subunit ribosomal RNA", at positions 524 to 776 of the family's 1533-position model. The record is from RNAcentral.